ACCCAGCUGGAGAGCCCCAUAUAGGACGAAACGCAUGUCCUGGAU
RNAcentral lists this non-coding RNA (45 nucleotides) under Schistosoma haematobium. Lineage: Eukaryota; Metazoa; Platyhelminthes; Trematoda; Strigeidida; Schistosomatidae. The record is from RNAcentral.